RNAcentral lists this ribosomal RNA (438 nucleotides) under uncultured bacterium. RNAcentral's name for it is "partial 16S ribosomal RNA". It matches the Rfam family "Bacterial small subunit ribosomal RNA", at positions 29 to 507 of the family's 1533-position model. The record is from RNAcentral.
AACGAACGCUGGCGGCAUGCCUAACACAUGCAAGUCGAACGAGACCUUCGGGUCUAGUGGCGCACGGGUGCGUAACGCGUGGGAACCUGCCCUUAGGUUCGGAAUAACUCCCCGAAAGGGGUGCUAAUACCGGAUAAUGUCUUCGGACCAAAGAUUUAUCGCCUUUGGAUGGGCCCGCGUUGGAUUAGCUAGUUGGUAGGGUAAAAGCCUACCAAGGCGACGAUCCAUAGCUGGUCUGAGAGGAUGAUCAGCCACACUGGGACUGAGACACGGCCCAGACGGGUGAGGGAGGGAGCAGGGGGGGAGGUGGGAGUAUGGGCUGAAGCCUGAUGCAGCAACGACGUGUGCGGGAUGGCGGACUGCGGGGUGGAAACCGCUUUCGCCGGGGACCAAGCGGGAGUGACGGUAAGUGGUAAAGAGGCAACGGCUAGCUAGGUG